Molecule: small nucleolar RNA, 133 nt
Filed under: Ornithorhynchus anatinus (platypus)
Lineage: Eukaryota; Metazoa; Chordata; Mammalia; Monotremata; Ornithorhynchidae
Source: RNAcentral
CCCCUCUCCUCACCUGGAGAGUUUCCAGUACUCUACCAGUCUCGGCUACGGGAGGGAGAGUCAAGCAGAGGCCUGUCCAUUCCAUUCCUAGCUUGGGCAGUGGCUAACGAGUGGAAGGCCAUCUGCUACAAGU